GGGGAUGAUCGGUUUCGACGGUGACCUGUUCGUCGCAGGGAAGCGUGCCGAGAACGCCGGGUCCGCUCGUGGAUGCCCCCGGCAAAAGAAUAAGUGCUAAAUCUAACCGCACUGAGUUCGCUCUCGCUGCCUGAGCUUCGCGCCAGGAUUAACCAGUGAGCAGCAGCUCCGUUCACUCCUCCACGUCUUCGGGAGGAUGCUGAGCGUCGUUUAGGAGACUUGCUGAUGCAGCCGCGCCACAGGGCCGCAUCGGGACUUUUUCUGCGGAUAUGCCCGCCAUCAGCUGUCUGCGGCAUUGAUGGGGGCAGACAAAACUGCCGUACGGCCAGCAGACUACGCACGUAGAAGACUGAGGGUUCGGUCAUCGGACCGGGGUUCAAUUCCCCGCAUCUCCACCA
This 398-nucleotide transfer-messenger RNA is filed under the name Bifidobacterium jacchi. RNAcentral's name for it is "Standard tmRNA". It matches the Rfam family "transfer-messenger RNA". Rfam says of the family: Bacterial tmRNA, also known as 10Sa RNA or SsrA, is named for its dual tRNA and mRNA-like properties. Its role is to liberate the mRNA from a stalled ribosome. To accomplish this part of the tmRNA is used as a reading frame that ends in a translation stop signal. The record is from Rfam by way of RNAcentral. Lineage: Bacteria; Bacillati; Actinomycetota; Actinomycetes; Bifidobacteriales; Bifidobacteriaceae.